UUCUUAUUUCAUUGCAAAGCGGCAAACGACUACAUUAGAUACCCUUCAACAGACGUUCAGAGACAAGAAGGCGCGCUAACACAUGCAAACACUUAUACAACGACACAUACUCGUUAUUCCCUCGAAAGAAAGAGACUGCAGCAUCACCAACGAACGCCUCUAGAAUGCAGCGCUUCUUGUAUGAAUUCAGCCAGAGAUUUCGAUGGCUUUCACCUCGGGCUUCUUCUUCUCCUCUUCUUUCGGCACGGUCACCGUCAGCACCCCGUUCUCCAUGGACGCCUCCACCCGGUCCACCUUGGCAUUCUCCGGCAGCCGAAACCGCCGGAGGAAUUUGCCGCUGCUUCUCUCGACGCCUGCCAUGAUGCACCUUGGACUCCCCUUUGAUCAAAGACAAAAAAAGAAAAGAAAUCAUGCUUUCAUUCAACAAGAGGGAGAUAAAAUAUCCAAGUAAAUUCGCAAAGACUCUUCUUAUUUCAUGGCAAAGCGGCAAACGACUACAUUAGAUACCCUUCAACAGACGUUCAGAGACAAGAAGGCGCGCUAACACAUGCAAACACUUAUACAACGACACAUACUCGUUAUUCCCUCUAAAGAAAGAGGCUGCAGCAUCACCAACGAACGCCUCUAGAAUGCACCGCUUCUUGUA
RNAcentral lists this long non-coding RNA (646 nucleotides) under Phoenix dactylifera (date palm). RNAcentral describes it as "long non-coding RNA (PDAC_LNC006261)". The record is from RNAcentral. Lineage: Eukaryota; Viridiplantae; Streptophyta; Magnoliopsida; Arecales; Arecaceae.